GACGAACGCUGGCGGCGUGCCUAAUACAUGCAAGUUGAGCGCUGAAGGUUGGUACUUGUACCAACUGGAUGAGCAGCGAACGGGUGAGUAACGCGUGGGGAAUCUGCCUUUGAGCGGGGGACAACAUUUGGAAACGAAUGCUAAUACCGCAUAAAAACUUUAAACACAAGUUUUAAGUUUGAAAGAUGCAAUUGCAUCACUCAAAGAUGAUCCCGCGUUGUAUUAGCUAGUUGGUGAGGUAAAGGCUCACCAAGGCGAUGAUACAUAGCCGACCUGAGAGGGUGAUCGGCCACAUUGGGACGGAGACACGGCCCAAACGCCUACGGGAGGCAGCAGUAGGGAAUCUUCGGCAAUGGACGAAAGUCUGACCGAGCAACGCCGCGUGAGUGAAGAAGGUUGUCGGAUCGUAAAACUCGGUUGGUAGAGAAGAACGUUGGUGAGAGUGGAAAGCUCAUCAAGUGACGGUAACUACCCAGAAAGGGACGGCUAACUACGUG
RNAcentral lists this ribosomal RNA (497 nucleotides) under uncultured bacterium. RNAcentral describes it as "partial 16S ribosomal RNA". It matches the Rfam family "Bacterial small subunit ribosomal RNA", at positions 28 to 507 of the family's 1533-position model. The record is from RNAcentral.